UGCCCUUCUCAAAUUCUGCCUUCCCGGAUGUUCCAUAUGUAAGGUCCCCUCCCUCACUGCAGCCCAGAUCCACGGCCUUCCUGGAUGGUUCGUCUUCCUGGGAAGCUGUUUCUGUCGGGGCUGCCGCGUCCCCAGCCCCCGUGACUGACUCUCCCUCUGCUCUCUUCCUUGCAGGGCCUGAUCAAGAUCCAGGGGACCGGUGCUGGCGAGACCUCACCUGCAUGGACUUCCACUAUGAGACCCAGCCGGUGCCCAAUCCUGUGGCAUACUACCUGCACCACUCGCCCUGGUGGCUCCACCGCUUCGAGACGCUCAGCAACCACUUCAUCGAGCUCCUGGUGCCCUUCUUCCUCUUCCUCGGCCGGCGGGCGUGCAUCAUCCACGGGCUGCUGCAGAUCCUGUUCCAGGGCGUCCUCAUCAUCAGCGGGAACCUCGGCUUCCUGAACUGGCUGACCAUGGUGCCCAGCCUGGCCUGCUUCGAUGACGCCACCCUGGGAUUCUUGUUCCCCUCUGGGCCGGGCAGCCUGAAGGACCAAGUUCUGCAGAUGCAGAGGGAAAUCCGAGGUGCCCGGUCCAAACCCAGAUUCGGCUCCGUGG
RNAcentral lists this small RNA (597 nucleotides) under Pongo abelii (Sumatran orangutan). RNAcentral's name for it is "retained intron". The record is from RNAcentral. Lineage: Eukaryota; Metazoa; Chordata; Mammalia; Primates; Hominidae.